Molecule: ribosomal RNA, 387 nt
Filed under: Lactarius cuspidoaurantiacus
Lineage: Eukaryota; Fungi; Basidiomycota; Agaricomycetes; Russulales; Russulaceae
Description: eukaryotic LSU rRNA
Rfam family: 5.8S ribosomal RNA (bases 1-75)
Source: RNAcentral
UUCAGUGAAUCAUCGAAUCUUUGAACGCACCUUGCGCCCCUUGGUAUUCCGAGGGGCACACCCGUUUGAGUGUCGUGAAAAUCUCAACCUUCUCGGUUUCUUCUGGACACCGAAGGAGGCUUGGACUUUGGAGGCCUUUGCUGGCGUCUCUUUUGAAGGCCAGCUCCUCUCAAAUGAAUUAGCAGGGUCCUCUUUGCCGAUCCUCGACGUGUGAUAAGAUGUUUCCAUGUCUUGGCUUCUCGCUCUGUUGCCUUUGGGACCUGCUUCUAACCGUCUCGACCGAGACAACGCUUGAGCGUGUCUCCCUUCUCGGGAAACACUCUCGAGCCCACGAACCCUUGACCUCAAAUCGGGUGAGACUACCCGCUGAACUUAAGCAUAUCAAUA